UGAAGAACGCAGCGAAAUGCGAUACCUAGUGUGAAUUGCAGAAUUCCGCGAAUCAUCGAGUUUUUGAACGCAAGUUGCGCCCGAGGCUCGUACCGAGGGCAUGUCUGUYUKAGCGUCCA
Molecule: ribosomal RNA, 119 nt
Filed under: Frullania chevalieri
Lineage: Eukaryota; Viridiplantae; Streptophyta; Jungermanniopsida; Porellales; Frullaniaceae
Description: partial 5.8S ribosomal RNA
Rfam family: 5.8S ribosomal RNA
About the family: 5.8S ribosomal RNA (5.8S rRNA) is a component of the large subunit of the eukaryotic ribosome. It is transcribed by RNA polymerase I as part of the 45S precursor that also contains 18S and 28S rRNA.
Source: RNAcentral